Molecule: transfer RNA, 77 nt
Filed under: Paenirhodobacter huangdaonensis
Lineage: Bacteria; Pseudomonadati; Pseudomonadota; Alphaproteobacteria; Rhodobacterales
Description: Sinirhodobacter sp. CGMCC 1.12963 tRNA-Arg
Rfam family: tRNA
About the family: Transfer RNA (tRNA) molecules are approximately 80 nucleotides in length. Their secondary structure includes four short double-helical elements and three loops (D, anti-codon, and T loops). Further hydrogen bonds mediate the characteristic L-shaped molecular structure. tRNAs have two regions of fundamental functional importance: the anti-codon, which is responsible for specific mRNA codon recognition, and the 3' end, to which the tRNAs corresponding amino acid is attached (by aminoacyl-tRNA synthetases). tRNAs cope with the degeneracy of the genetic code in two manners: having more than one tRNA (with a specific anti-codon) for a particular amino acid; and 'wobble' base-pairing, i.e. permitting non-standard base-pairing at the 3rd anti-codon position.
Source: RNAcentral
GGCCCCGUGGCUCAACUGGAUAGAGCAAUCCCCUCCUAAGGGAUAGGUUGGUGGUUCGAAUCCACUCGGGGUCACCA